AGAGUUGAUUAUGGCUCAGGAUGAACGCUAGCUACAGGCUUAACACGAUGCAAGUCGAGGGGCAGCAUAACGAAAGCUUGCUUUGUGAUGGCGACCGGCGCACGGGUGAGUAACGCGUAUCCAACCUUCCCGCGAGUAGGGAACAGCCCGGCGAAAGUCGGAUUAAUGCCCUAUGUUCUCCGAUGACGGCAUCAGAGUUGGAGUAAAGAUUUAUCGCUUGCGGAUGGGGAUGCGUCUGAUUAGCUUGUUGGCGGGGUAACGGCCCACCAAGGCGACGAUCAGUAGGGGUUCUGAGAGGAAGGUCCCCCACAUUGGAACUGAGACACGGUCCAAACUCCUACGGGAGGCAGCAGUGAGGAAUAUUGGUCAAUGGGCGGAAGCCUGAACCAGACCCAAGUAGCGUGAGGGAUGACUGCCCUAUGGGUUGUAAACCUCUUUUGUUCGGGAAUAAAGUUCGGGACGUGUCCCGUUUUGUAUGUACCGUUCGAAUAAGGACCGGCUAAUUCCGUGCCAGCAGCUGC
RNAcentral lists this ribosomal RNA (521 nucleotides) under uncultured bacterium. RNAcentral describes it as "bacterial SSU rRNA". It matches the Rfam family "Bacterial small subunit ribosomal RNA", at positions 8 to 518 of the family's 1533-position model. The record is from RNAcentral.